UGGGUAAUUACACUAAAUAGACAAUCUCAAAAUCCACCUGAGUGCCCCCGUUUAAAGUGAACAACUCAUUUUCGUUAGUAGAAUAGGAUGUCUCUAGGGAGCAGUAUUCAGGCCAUUGCAAACAUUCAUUGUCGUAUCGGUGUGACAUUUUUCUUUUACAAUCUGCGUCUGACAUAAAUAUUUUUUUAACGCUUAGUUGGUGUGGCAUACUAAACGCGCACCACACACACGGAGACCCAUCCUGCUUUCUUCGGAGAGUAGCAGGAGAAAAGAAAACUGAGGACCAGUUUUCAGCCCACAAUUCUGUAGGUCAGCCUUUAGGAAAUGCGCAAUCUGUGGUGUUUUUGCGGCUCCGCGCGUUUUGCAUGUGAAUUUGUUCAUCAGUGUCCUUGUCGCCCAAUUCCGCAACAUCAAUGUCUGCCAAACGAGAGUAAGGCGCUCGUGACUCGCCACUCCUUGCGUUUCUUAAAUUGUCACCGACUGCAGCAGCGUCUGUGCCGUAUAUAUUUAUGAUCGCACGAUUUAAUAUUUAAGGUAUAUUGCUUUCUUGAUGUAUUAGAGACACUUUCAUGAUUUGAUGCCUUGCAGUGCCUUGGUCUGACACUAUCGGCAUGCGAUGGCGAUACUCCUGUUGACCUGACCGUCCCAAAGGGCAUAUUUGACGCACUGACGUGCAUACUGGAGAACCUCAGCGAAAGCGACCUCGACGAUACCGUAAAAGGACUUCUGUGCAGUGUGAUUAAUCUCCUGAAGAACUCGCUUGGCGGCUUGGGAGACCUCACCGAACCUCUCAUGAAGCUCGUUUCGAGACUUGUUGGACAAAGAUGUUAGACAUGUGCGCCUUCAAGACUUUGAUUCCAGCUGAUCCUACGUAUUGAUGCUUACAGAAAUACGUUUACUGGGGAUUUGCGGUGCAAUAAAGCUUAAUAAAGAUAUUGCUGGCGUUUGAAAAAAAA
This is a long non-coding RNA of Ixodes scapularis (black-legged tick), 956 nucleotides long. RefSeq lists it as uncharacterized. The transcript has 4 exons. NCBI's taxonomy places the organism in Eukaryota, Metazoa, Arthropoda, Arachnida, Ixodida, Ixodidae. The record is from RefSeq and is a predicted model, not a curated record.